Molecule: ribosomal RNA, 467 nt
Filed under: uncultured bacterium
Lineage: Bacteria
Description: partial 16S ribosomal RNA
Rfam family: Bacterial small subunit ribosomal RNA
Source: RNAcentral
GACGAACGCUGGCGGCGUGCUUAACACAUGCCAGUCGAACGGAAAGGCCCUGCUUUUGUGGGGUGCUCGAGUGGCGAACGGGUGAGUAACACGUGAGUAACCUGCCCUUGACUUUGGGAUAACUUCAGGAAACUGGGGCUAAUACCGGAUAGGAGCUCCUGCUGCAUGGUGGGGGUUGGAAAGUUUCGGCGGUUGGGGAUGGACUCGCGGCUUAUCAGCUUGUUGGUGGGGUAGUGGCUUACCAAGGCUUUGACGGGUAGCCGGCCUGAGAGGGUGACCGGCCACAUUGGGACUGAGAUACGGCCCAGACUCCUACGGGAGGCAGCAGUGGGGAAUAUUGCACAAUGGGCGGAAGCCUGAUGCAGCAACGCCGCGUGCGGGAUGACGGCCUUCGGGUUGUAAACCGCUUUCGCCUGUGACGAAGCGUGAGUAACGGUAAUGGGUAAAGAAGCACCGGCUAACUACGU